Long non-coding RNA from Stegostoma tigrinum, 489 nucleotides. RefSeq lists it as uncharacterized. NCBI's taxonomy places the organism in Eukaryota, Metazoa, Chordata, Chondrichthyes, Orectolobiformes, Stegostomatidae. The record is from RefSeq and is a predicted model, not a curated record. The transcript is spliced from 3 exons.
AAUCAUUUCAGGAUUUAUCACUAGCUGCCGUGACGCCACAUGCAUCUCCUCUUUAAUACUCGCACGCACCUUGUUUCGACAAUUCGUUCGGAUUUCUGAUGUGAUUUUCUUCCUCACCAGAGGCCAUCUUUGCUCGGGACUGAGAGUGAGUUACUCCGGUCCCGGAUUUGAAAUGUUCACAGGAAGCGGAGAGAUUGCCCGAUGCUGGCUCACAUCCAGUUGGACCUCACUCCCUAGUGAGCUGCAGUCAGGCUAGAUAUCCUGGGUCUCAGGAAACCUGGCAGAAGGGAAGCUUGAGGAGCGAUUUAGAAUGGGCAAUUUCGCAAGGCCAAUCCACCUAGCCUGCACAUCUUUGAACUGUGGGAGGAAACCGGAGCACCCGGACGAAAUCCACGUGGACGCAGGGAGAAUGUGCAAACUCCACACAGACAGACAGUCACCCAGAGCUGGAAUCGAACCCGGGUCCCUGGUGCUGUGACGCACUAGUAU